RNAcentral lists this long non-coding RNA (202 nucleotides) under Ananas comosus (pineapple). RNAcentral's name for it is "long non-coding RNA (ACOM_LNC008669)". The record is from RNAcentral. Lineage: Eukaryota; Viridiplantae; Streptophyta; Magnoliopsida; Poales; Bromeliaceae.
UCACUCAGCUGCGGAUCCCCCUUGUCGGAACCCGCCGAACCUGCUCUCAGCCAGCGAUGAUCCACAAUCAAUAUCUGAACAUCAACACCCACUAAAAUCCAUCAAAUUUCACAAUUUCAGCACUUUAAGCUUAAAAAUCACCCAACUUCAACGUCAACACUCACCUAAAGAUCUCCAAAUCAGGUGAGGACAGUCCCACAUC